GUUGAAACACUGGUUCUCGUCCAUUCACUGAAGUUAAGCAAUGUUGAACCUGAUCAGUACCUAGAUGGGUGACCACUUAAAAAUGCCAGGUGCUGUAAG
This is a non-coding RNA of Acanthosepion pharaonis, 99 nucleotides long. The record is from the annotation of a GenBank genome assembly. NCBI's taxonomy places the organism in Eukaryota, Metazoa, Mollusca, Cephalopoda, Sepiida, Sepiidae.